This 56-nucleotide ribosomal RNA is filed under the name uncultured Thelephoraceae. RNAcentral's name for it is "28S ribosomal RNA". Lineage: Eukaryota; Fungi; Basidiomycota; Agaricomycetes; Thelephorales; Thelephoraceae. The record is from RNAcentral.
GUUUGAUCUCAAAUCAGGAGACUACCCGUGUUUCAAGGGAAGUUGUUAGCAGGGGA